This 1706-nucleotide long non-coding RNA is filed under the name Anas platyrhynchos platyrhynchos (common mallard). RNAcentral describes it as "lncRNA (ENSAPLG00000022962.1)". The record is from RNAcentral. Lineage: Eukaryota; Metazoa; Chordata; Aves; Anseriformes; Anatidae.
UGAUGGCGUCUGUGCGCGGGGCUCAUGCAAAAGGGCUCGUGCAUGGCUCAUGCAACGAUGCUAGUGCAAGGGGUGCUUGUGCAAGGGGGCUUGUGCAAGGGGGCUUGUGCAAAGGGUGCUCGUGCAAGGGGGCUUGUGCAAGGAGCUGGUGCAAUGGUGCUUGUGUUCAGGGCUCGUGCAAAACUGCUUGUGCAUGGCUCAUUCAAUGAUGCUCGUGCAAAGGGGCUUGUGCAAGGGGUUGGUGCGCUGGUGCUUGUGCGCAGGGCUUGUGCAAAAGUGCUUGUGUAAAAGUGCUCGUGCAGGGCUCAUUCAGUGGUGCUUGUGCAGGGGGGCUGGUGCAAGGGGCUGGUGUGAUGGCGUUUGUGCGUGGGGCUCAUGCAAAGGGGCUCAUACAAAGGGGCUUGUGCAAGGGGGAUUGUGCAAGGGGUGCUUGUGCAAGGAGCUGGUGCAAUGGUGCUUGUGUGCAGGGCUUGUGCAAAACUGCUUGUGCAGGGCUCGUUCAAUGAUGCUUGUGCAAAGGGGCUUGUGCAAGGGGUUGGUGCGGUGGCGCUUGUGCGCAGGGCUUGUGCAAAAGUGCUUGUGUAAAAGUGCUCGUGCAUUCAGUGGCGCUUGUGCAGGGGGGCUUGUGCAAGGGGCUGGUGCAACGUCACUUGUGUGCAGUGCUUGUGCAAAGGGGCUCAUAAAAAGGGGCUUGUGUAUGGCUCAUGCAACGACGCUUGUGCAAGGGGUGCUUGUGCAAGGGGGCUUGUGCAAGGGGGCUUGUGCAAUGGUGCUUGUGUGCAGGGCUUGUGCAAAACUGCUUGUGCAGGGCUCAUUCAAUGAUGCUUGUGCAAGGGGUUGGUGCGCUGGCGCAUGUGCGCAGGGCUUGUGCAAAAGUGCUUGUGUAAAACCUUGUGCAGGGCUCAUUCAGUGGCACUUGUGCAGGGGGGCUGGUGCAAGGGGCCGGCACGAUGGCGCUUGUGAGCAGUGCUCGUGCAAAAGUGCUCGUGCAUGGCUCAUUCAAUGGUGCUUGUGCAAGGGGGCUUGUGCAAGGGGCUGGCACAAUGAUGCUUGUGCACAGGGUUUGUGCAAAGGGGCUCAUGCAAAAGUGCUCGUGCGUUGCACAUUCAAUGGAGCUUGUGCACGGGGGCUUGUGCAAGGGGCUGGUGCAACGUCACUUGUGUGCAGGGCUUGUGCAAAGGGGCUCAUACAAAGGGGCUUGUGUAUGGCUCACGCAACGACGCUUGUGCAAGGGGUGCUUGUGCAAGGGGUGCUUGUGCAAGGGGUGCUUGUGCAAGGGGGCUUUUGCAAGGGGCUGAUGCGAUGGCACGUGCAUAGGGCUCACGCAAAGGGGCUUGUGCAAAAGUGCUUGUGCGUGGCUCAUGCAACGGUGCUUGUGCAAGGGGUCUCGUGCAAGAGGGUUUGUGCAAGAGGGUUUGUGCAAGGGGAGUUGUGCAACAGCACUUGUGCAAAAGCACUUGGGCAAAGGCAUUCGUGCAAGAGGGCUUGUGCAAAGCUGCUUGGCCAAGGGGGGCUCGUGCAACAGCGCUUGUGCAGUGGCGCUUGUGCAAAGGGGCUCGUGCAAGGGGGGCACUUGUGCAAAGGGCGCUUGUGCAAGCUGUGCCCCCCCCCCCCCACCAUGCAGCUGGAGCUGAUCGGCCACAGCGUCUUCGACUUCGUGCACCCGUGCGACCACGAGGAGCUGCAGGAUGUGCUCAGCCCCCGGC